RNAcentral lists this ribosomal RNA (619 nucleotides) under uncultured bacterium. RNAcentral's name for it is "bacterial SSU rRNA". It matches the Rfam family "Bacterial small subunit ribosomal RNA", at positions 28 to 688 of the family's 1533-position model. The record is from RNAcentral.
GAUGAACGCUGGCGGUAUGCUUAACACAUGCAAGUCGAACGGAUGUUUUCGGACAUUAGUGGCGGACGGGUGAGUAACGCGUGAGAAUCUAGCUUCAGGUUGGGGACAACAGUUGGAAACGACUGCUAAUACCGAAUAUGCCGAGAGGUGAAAGAUUUAUUGCCUGAAGAAGAGCUCGCGUCUGAUUAGCUAGUUGGUGGGGUAAGAGCUUACCAAGGCGACGAUCGGUAGCUGGUCUGAGAGGACGAUCAGCCACACUGGGACUGAGACACGGCCCAGACUCCUACGGGAGGCAGCAGUGGGGAAUUUUCCGCAAUGGGCGAAAGCCUGACGGAGCAAUACCGCGUGAGGGAAGAAGGCUCUUGGGUUGUAAACCUCUUUUCUUAGGGAAGAAAAAAAUGACGGUACCUAAGGAAUAAGCAUCGGCUAACUCCGUGCCAGCAGCCGCGGUAAUACGGAGGAUGCAAGCGUUAUCCGGAAUGAUUGGGCGUAAAGCGUCCGCAGGUGGCAAGUCAAGUUUGCGGUUAACAGGUUCUGGCUCAACCAGAGACAGGCCGUGAAAACUGACUAGCUAGAGUAUGGUAGGGGCAGAGGGAAUUCCCAGUGUAGCGGUGAAAUG